Molecule: ribosomal RNA, 274 nt
Filed under: uncultured bacterium
Lineage: Bacteria
Description: partial 16S ribosomal RNA
Rfam family: Bacterial small subunit ribosomal RNA
Source: RNAcentral
AUACGGAGGGGGUUAGCGUUGUGCGGAAUUACUGGGCGUGAAGCGCACGUAGGCGGAUUGGAAAGUUGGGGGUGAAAUCCCAGGGCUCAACCCUGGAACUGCCUCCAAAACUAACAGUCUAGAGUUCGAGAGAGGUGAGUGGAAUUCCAAGUGUAGAGGUGAAAUUCGUAGAUAUUUGGAGGAACACCAGUGGCGAAGGCGACUCACUGGCUCGAUACUGACGCUGAGGUGCGAAAGCGUGGGGAGCAAACAGGAUUAGAAACCCCGGUAGUCC